AAUAAUUUUUUAGGUACCACAUUCUGGAAAAUUUAUCAUAAAUUACUAUCAUGACUGAAAUUGCUAGCGUAGUUUUAAAAGGAUUAAGUUUGAUUGUACAAUCCGGAGGAUGCUGCUGGAAAUGCUACAAAAACAAAUAUUGUUUCUGUUGUCGUGAAAAGGAAAAUAAAGUUGGUGACAGCAAUAACGAUGAUGGUAAUGCCGAUAAGAACAAUGGUGAAAAAUCUAACAAGUCCACGACAAAAGAUGAGGUUAAAGAUGAAACUAACACUAAAGAUGAAGAUACGGAUAAAGAUGUGAAAAGUAGCAAGUAAAAGAGAAUGGCAUCAAGAGUAGACAGAUAACACUACCCAACUGGCUACUAAAUAAUAUGUUUCAAAAUCAUCUAGAAAAUAUUUUUCUUUUUAAAACUAUUCGAGUGCGUAAUAGUAAUACCAUGCCAUUUUCGGAAAUUAUGCCACUACAUUUAUGUCCUUCUGAAAUAUUUACAAAGUUUAUUGUAUAUCAUAAUAAAACAUUAAAAUAUUGAAAUUAAACUUUUAA
Long non-coding RNA from Mytilus californianus (California mussel), 543 nucleotides. RefSeq lists it as uncharacterized. The transcript has 3 exons. The record is from RefSeq and is a predicted model, not a curated record. NCBI's taxonomy places the organism in Eukaryota, Metazoa, Mollusca, Bivalvia, Mytilida, Mytilidae.